This 250-nucleotide ribosomal RNA is filed under the name uncultured bacterium. RNAcentral describes it as "partial 16S ribosomal RNA". It matches the Rfam family "Bacterial small subunit ribosomal RNA", at positions 524 to 773 of the family's 1533-position model. The record is from RNAcentral.
GACAGAGGGUGCAAACGUUGUUCGGAAUUACUGGGCGUAAAGCGCGUGUAGGCGGCGACGCAAGUCGGAUGUGAAAGCCCAUGGCUCAACCAUGGAAGUGCACCCGAAACUGCGUCGCUAGAGUCUCGGAGAGGAAGGUGGAAUGCUUGGUGUAGAGGUGAAAUUCGUAGAUAUCAAGCGGAACACCGGUGGCGAAGGCGGCCUUCUGGACGAGUACUGACGCUGAGACGCGAAAGCGUGGGUAGCAAAC